Molecule: ribosomal RNA, 576 nt
Filed under: Triticum aestivum (bread wheat)
Lineage: Eukaryota; Viridiplantae; Streptophyta; Magnoliopsida; Poales; Poaceae
Description: partial small subunit ribosomal RNA
Source: RNAcentral
AUGGAUAGGCAAGGCAUUUCACCUUCGGUCUACAGCAACAACGACGAGUUCGAUGCCGCGAACAACUCCAACGACGCCAAGAUGCAAGCUCAAAUGGAGGACAUCAAAGCCCUCAUCAAGUCCUGCAAGCGAUCUUCCUCAUCUACGAGAAGACGCUCUAGUGCACAUGCUUCCGAGCUACCAUCUCCGGCAAGAUCACAUUGGCAUCGACACCAUCACCACCACGAACGUGAAGGUGAUGCGGAGCAUCCCACGUUCAUCCCCAUGUACACUCCGACUAGUCUCCAAGGCCCAAGGAUACAUAAGAUGAGACCUCGACUAUACACCAUUGGACACAAGGUGAACUCGCUCCUCUUCGAACCAUCACCUUCCAUAUGUGAGACAUGGCUACUACCUGAAAUAUAUGUGCUAUGCAUGACCAGGAACAAAGAGGAAGACCAUGGACAAGACGGCGAGGACACCAAGUGUGAAGGACGAGAAGAAGAGAUGUCACGGAAGCUACAGGCUCCGGACGACCGGCCCAGCCCGGACGUCCGACACCUCCCAGGCCCCGGACGACCGAACACCUACGGAUGA